AAUGCUAUUGCUCUAGGUUUGCAUACAACUACAUUGAUUUUAGUAAAGGGUGCUUUAGAUGCACGCGGUUCCAAAUUAAUGCCGGAUAAAAAGGAUUUCGGGUAUAGUUUUCCUUGCGACGGCCCACGACGCGGCGGUACUUGUGAUAUUUCUGCUUGGGACGCGUUUUAUUUGGCAGUUUUCUGGAUGUUAAAUACCAUUGGAUGGGUUACUUUUUACACAAACCACGAGAGUUUUUCCUCCUAUUUUUUUAUUUCACUUGUCGAAUCUUGCAUCACUAUUACCUAUUCUAGAUUCGAGUUUGUUAGCGUUCCUAAUAGAUAGGAUACGAUUGUAACAGAUCAGUACUAGAUUAGAUCUAUCAUGUAACAAAUUUAGGUUCGAGUUUGUUAGAGUUCAUAAUAAAUAGGAUAUGGUUGUAACAGAUAAUGUACCAGAUUAGAUCUAUCAUGUAACCACCCACCUCCCAGCUUAUAUAAAUACAUGCCACCAUAACACCUCAAGCCAUCAAUCAAAGACUCAUCUCAUCCAUAGCCUCGCAGCAGCCACCGCUCGCCGGUGGGCCUGCCACCGUGGGUAGGAUGCCGCAGCCCCGUUCCGACAUGAACAGGAUCGUGCGGGGGGAGAAACGGCCCUAGCCGUCGAUGCGGUGAUGAACGCUCACGAUUGAAUCUCAAAUACCCCAUCGUGAUUGAAAAUCAUAGCCGUUGAUCUCGGAUCUGUUGGUCGAGUUCAGAUCGUGGGAUCCUUUAAUCUCGAGCAUUGUUUUUAGAUCCGACCACUAUGAUAGAAUGCCGGUUCAUGUGAGAUAAGUCUCUGAUCCCUGCCGUCGGAUUUGGAUCCCACGACUAGCAAUCCACCGUGCCCCUUCGCCAUGUCCAUCUUUAUAAAGAGGCCCUCGGGUUUCUUUCAAAUCAACCUGCCAUCCGACCAGUUAGGAAAUAAUUAAAACCGAGUCCCCAAUAUUUAUGAAUUUAACCCCAAGUUUUCAGGAAUUAAUGCCCGCAGCCCAGAGGUUAAAUAAAAUGAGUAAAUUAUUUCAGAAAAUGUUUUCUAGUAUAGAAAUAAUUCCAUAAACUUGUGUAUUUCAUAAAUAAUUCAUUUUAAUUCCUUUUUGAUCAAUUCCAGUUGCAUUAAUCUCAUAUUAAUAUUGUUUAUCAUCUAGUAACCAUUACUAUAAAACCUAUGAUUAAAAUCUUGUACCUCCUUUGUUUUAUAAUAGACACUUAAAACUUCAGAAAAUCAUAACUUUAUAACUGUAACUCCGAAUUUAGUGAUUCCUGAACCUACGACCUCGUAGCAGCGGAUAGAAUAUUCUUACGUUAUUUGUUCUCAUGUUUGGUGUAAUGUUAUUUUUAUGUUCUCAUUGUUCAUUUGUAUGUAUUGUUAUGAAUAGAAGUGAGGUCAUGAGUCACUUGAAGACCAAGUUGGUGAAGUACCUGGAAAUCUCGAGUCUAAGGCAAGUUGUGGCCUUGAUCACUUUUCUCUUUACCUAAUAAUGUUCCAAUUAAUCACUGUAACAUGCUCAGGUUAAUUUAAUGGGACCUAAUAGGUUUCCCUAGCAUUUUUUAUCUCACACCUUGCAGACAAAAGAACUAUUGGGUAGUGUCUCUAUUGCUCUACCUAGUUUUGAGAAAUUAAUGUUAUAUUAUGAUCAUGUUCUAGUUAUGCUGUUGUUUUAAUUAUUGUUAAUGACAAGAUCAUUGUGUUAAUUGGAACAUGGAGCUUAACUUGAGAUAUUCGUGCUACCACAUGGGUGGAAUGGGACGUCCUUGGCUGACUAAUUAGUAAAGCUAGUGGAGGACUACCUUACCUGAAAGGGGCAAGGGCGGUAGAGGAGCUGCGUAUAGGGAGGUUCUCGGGUCGAUCAGGCUGCGAUGGCUUUUCGAAUGAGGGAUUCCUAUAUUUCCCUUUUUAGAAACCGUAGCGGGUUUUCUGAAGCUUGUGGAACUUUGUAAAGGCCUCGUAGUGGAUCCCUAGCCAUUCACCUUGGAAGUGUCUAAGGGCCUUGCAAACCCUGGCUAGACGGGAUACACGAUUUAUGGGUAAAGGGUGCAACCUCUGCAGAGCGUAAAACUGGUAUAUCGCCGUGCUCACAGUCAAGACCGACUUAGGACUCUCGCAUGAUUAAUCUAUAGAACUAAACUUAAUCUGUCAUAUGUAUUGCAUUAUGGGUUUUGUUAUUAAUUGUGAUCUCUUACUUAAUUGGGUUGGUAUAUACUUAUAUCUAGUAAUUGCUAAUAAAAUUUUGACCAACUUUAAAAGCAAUGCUCAACUUUAACCAUCUCCCUUGGUAAGCUUUACACUUCACGUGGGCUCCCACCUUUGGUGAGUUCAUGCACAUAAUUCCCCACAACUUGUUGAGCGAUGAACGUAUGUGAGCUCACCCUUCUGUACUCACAUCCCCCCAGGUCAAGAACAGGUACCAUAGGAUGAGGCGCAUGAAGGAUGCUGUCAUGAGUUCGUGAGUGGUCUAGGCCAUGAUCUCCCAGUCAACUUUGGGUUGCUGGAUCAUUGUCUUCAUAUGAUGUAAUUAUUUAACUAUUUUGUACAGAACUCUGUUAUAUAUAUAUUAAUGAUGCUACAUUCAUUUUUGUACCAUGAAUCAUCAUAUGUGUGAUACUUGAUCCCAACACACUUGGUAAAGUUCGCGCCUAGGUUUGGUGUCCCUAAAACCUGGGUGUGACAAGACUAAAUGUUGCCUAGGCUGAUUCACUGUCUAGAGUUCUACAUACUAGUGCUUACUGGACUGAAUGUUGCAUAAUGUUGCGUGGAUUGAUUCACUGCCUGAACUGAAUGUUCUGAAUCAAGUCAGUUAGUAGGAAUGCCAAGCUAUGUCUGCCAAAAUGUCUAUGCAAGAGGGAUCUCAAGUUGGCCAAGAUUUUUCAAGCAAUGGAGGUGGUGAGCAGUUGUCAAGGAAGCACCUUCAAUAGAAAUACUCACAAGAUUGCUAACUGUUAAUGGGGGCUUGGUUCCAGAGUCGUCGAUGAUGCCUGUAUUAGGCAUGAAUUUUCAUAUCCUGAAGCAACUAAAAAUUAAUUUGCUUGAUGUAGAAGCACCUUUGCCCGAGGAAGUAUGAUUCAGUUACUGAUUAAUCAUGUCUAUUCUCUUUUAGGUGGUAUUGGCAAUCAACUUCUUGCACAUCAUGAUAAAAUCAUCUCAUCAUAAGCAUACAAAAGCAUCUUCUCAUAAGCAUACAAAAUUAUCUCAUCAUAACCAUACAAAAGCAUCUCAUCAUAAGCAUACAAAAUCAUCUCAUCAUAAGCAUACAAAAGCAUACAUUAAGUCUCACAUAGACAACAUUAAAUAGGUAACCUUACAUGAAGUCUGACAUUGACUACCUUACUACAAGUUGCAUUUGAACCUUACUACAAUUUGAGCUUAUCCUCACUACAAGGAGACACAUAGACGACCUUACACAACCAACCUUACUACAAGUAGCACAUAGAUCAUGAAGCCUUAAUUAAUAGACAUCGCAAAAGAGGAGUCACAUGAUACGAUCCCACGACUUGUCUACAUCCCAACCAAUAUUGUCGGAAAUCCCAACCAUGUUAUGAAAUUCAAUGUUCUCCUGUUCAUGUUGUUCCUAAAAAUCUAAUUCCACAAACUCUUCGAAUCAAACUCAUCGUCAUCUUCGAUUUAACCAUCUUCUGAGUAACCAUACUCUGAAGUCUCAACCAAAUCAGCAGAGUCAAAGACCACCGACGAAUUACUAUUUGAUAAAUCUUGUUUGUAAAUUAAACAAGUCUGCUCAACCAUGUUACUGAUAUGGUCAAUGUGAUUCACAACCUUUUCCAUCUUGCGACCUUCAACUUGAAAGGCAGUGGAACACAACCUAGUCACUUAUGUAACAUAGAUGUUUGGCGCCUCAUCUCUUGUAUGGCAUAUCACAAAUAAUUCCUAAUCUUCACAUGAAUGUAGUAAUUCGCUCUAUGUUAUAAUAAAAUGGAAUGAGAUUUCUAUUCAUGUGUGUAGUUUGACUGAACAAUAAAAAAUCGUAAGCUAUCGAAACAAAAUCUCACAAAAUCCCUAACCACAACCGAAGAUCUCAAAGAACAAUUAUCGGAGUAAUACCUCACUUGCCAUCGCGACUAGUUCUAGUAGGCCAUCGGUGUUUGCGUACUCCACGAUGUCAUUCUCUACAGUAGCCGUGGCAUGGGGUGCCUUUGUCCACAGCGAUGGCGGCAACCUUGACUGAAGCCACGACCUUCUGCUACUCCACGCAUGCCGUGUUGCGCGCUUCCUCAGCAACAAGUGCAGCAGCAAUAGUGGCCUUGCGAGCAUUGACGGCAGCAGAGCAUCUCAUCAGUGAGGAACAGAGGCAACGAGCUGCUCACUCUCGGAUGGGAAGGUGGGGAACACGAAUACAAUGACAUAUAGGGGAGGGAGGUAUCGGGAGAGAUAGUGGAGAUCUAGAUGGAGUGGAGGAUUGACGAUGUUUUCAGCUCGCCAUCCGUGUGGACGCGCUCAACUUCUAAUGACCGAUGUUCCAUGCGUGAUGGUUAAUAGUUUCCAUUCUACAAGUUUGAGCCUCUAUUUUGUUUCCAUUUUGACAUUUUGAUAGAUAUCGCGUCUCUUAUGCUAUUCUAGUAGAGCAUAUACUGUCACGGUUAAUGUCAAACGAGGAGUUCACUCCAGUGACUUUUGAUCUUGUCUUUUUUGUUUAAAUGCUGAUGACGUGAAUCUUCGAGGAGAAGCCGAGGCGAAUGCAGUUGUCGGCGUUGGUGUAGCAAAGUUUACGAAUGUCGUUGAGUGGAGACGUGAAGCUUUAAGGAGACGUUGAGGCGAACAAUGUUACAGGCGUUGGCGCGACAAAGUUUAUGGAUGUUGAGUGAAGAUCGAACGGACGAAAUCAUUUCAGAUGACGUGGCGUAACCAGGUGAGUUGUUUGCUCCCGCGGUUAAUAAUAGUAAAAUUUUGAUCCAAAGACCCACCAUACAUAUAAUAGGUAUGAGACAAAUUUUUUUGUCAUUUCUAAAUGAUAGCUGAUAAAAUAUUAUGUCAGUGACUGAUCACUCUGUCAUACUAGAUGACAAAGGGACAAAAAAAUUAAAUCUCCCGAAAUACAACAUUAUAAAAUGGUUUUGCAUUGGAACGCACCAAACAGAAAAAAAUUAUGUACAUCCACUUUCUUUAACAGCUCAUCAUAUUCAUCACUUAGCUCAUUACAUUCAUCACUUAGAGGGUUAAAAAAAUAAAAAUUUAUAACUUAAUAUAUCAAUAAUUUAUUUUUCUUCUAUUUAUAUGACAGCAAUGAGUGUACUUUGCAUUCGGCUGCAAACAAUUUUUUCCCCAGAACCUCAGCCUUCCGACAUCACCGCCGACGCCAUGGCCGGCUCUCCCCGCCACCUCUCCCUCUUUCCCCUGCGCCUCCUGUUACUUCUUCCGCUGCUCGCUGCGGGUAAACCCGUCCUCGAGGACGGUUACACGGUCACCACCUUCGCCGACCUCAACCCGCUCCCGGCCUCCGGGCCACACCCCUACGCAGUCCUCCCGCGGUCCCGCGCCGGCGACCUCCUCCUCCUCGACUCCGCCGGCUCCGCGCUCUACACUAUCUCCCUCUCCUCCUCCCCCGGCGAGCCGCGCAGGCUGGCAGGGGGCAAACGAGGCUCCGGGUUCAACGACGGCGGGCCCGGCGACGCCGCCUUUGACCGCCCGCGCAGCGUCGCCGUCGAUGCCGCCGACAACGUAUACGUCGCCGACCGCCUCCAUGGUGCCGUCCGCAAGGUCGCGCCCUCCGGUGAGCGAACCCGCGCGUCCCCUCCUCCGUGCUUCUUUUGUUCCCCUGUGUCAUGGAUCAAGGGGUGAAUCAGUAAGGAAUAGUAAGAUUCAGUAUGAUUCUUUGUUUCUUUUGCAUAUAAAUGGAUGGAUGUAAGCACCAUCAGAGAACGAUUACGAAAUGAAUAAACCAGUUACAAAUCAAACUUAUCUUUGAGUUCCCUGUUGAGCGUUUUCUGUUGCUGGCGAGCUCUUCACCCCGUGGGCGCUCACCGCUGGUCAGGAGGAGGCGUCUCCGUGUUCAUCCUGGACACAUUUGGAUCCAGGCGGCUUGGCAUCUUGGUGCAUCAGGUGUCACACCCUGCUAGCGGUUCCUUGGUGAGGUCGUCAGUUAGGGUUUAGGGUUUGGUGGAUGUGAAGCGGGGAGUGGGACUAGGUGAUCGGCCCCCUAGUGGCUGAAGCGACACAUUUAUGUUACCUUUGGAGUGUUUUUUUUUACAAAAUGCCUCUCGAACGCUUUCGUAGUAAGGUUCGGUUGGGAUGUUCAUGUCGUUGAUUGAAAUUUUGCUCACGUGUUCUCACUCCAAAUUUUAUAUGUUUUUUUACUUAUCUACAAAUAAUUUAUAGAUGCGAUAUGUAUGUUGAAUUUCAUGUUUUUACCCUUAAAUUACAUCGAGAUAAAUUGGUAAAUUCACCAAAACUUGGUUCAGAGCAGUCCAAACCCUUGUAUGUUUCACCCCUAAAACAUAUUCCCUCCAUUCUUUUUUUUAUUUGUCGCGUUUUAGUUCAAAAAAUGAACUAGCGGGCGUCAAAUAUUGAAGAACGGACGUAGUAUAAUUUUACCAUCUCACUAGUUGGCAAGCUAAGGCAAUGGUAUUCUACUGCUUGGUAUUUGGUUUUUGUUGUUUCCUACCUACUCAUGACUGUUAAAUAUCUGUUUUUAGUGGUGCCAUGCAGAGUUAAUCAUGCCUGACAAUUUAUAAUAACUACUUGGAAAGAAAAGAUAAUUAUGUGCUGGCCAAUAGCAUUACCUUGCUCCUGAUUUUUUGCUACAAAUUUGUCAUUGCUAGGUUACACUACUACAAUUGCUGGAGGGUUCUCAUCAGGGCCUGGUCACAGGGAUGGACCAGCACAGAAUGCUACUUUCUCGCCAGAUUUUGCACUUGUUUAUGUCCCGAAGAUUUGUGCCUUGUUAGUAGCUGACAGAGGAAAUCGAAUGGUUAGACAAAUUAAUCUAAAGCCAGAAGAUUGUGCACAUGAAAAACAAUCAGGUAAAUACUGAAUGGGCCUCCAACUUGCUGUAUAGGCACCGUAACUUAGUAUCUUACUCGUGUCUAGUGCUUAAGUUAUUGUGUUUUACCAUGGCCACUUGUUUUGUCAAUAAAAUCUGUGUUGUGGUAUCACUGUCUUUCAAUUUACAAAUUUCACGCAUAGCCUGAGAUGUGCAGAAAGGCUUUGUAGAAUGUGCUGAUUCUUCCAGUGUGUAUAAGUAGCUUCUUUGAUAUGUACAUUGCCUUAUCUGGAUAUGCAUUAAGGCAUUGGUCCAUCAUUUAACUUAUAUUUUAGACACUUGGAGAUUCAAUUAUGACAACUCUAUUUUUUUUCCUUAUCUCCUUGUAUUCCUGGGCUCAAAACAUUUUCAUCUACAGUCUGUUAGCGAUGCCUGGACAGUGUUUUAAUAGUGAUAGCGAUAUGACGUUCUGUGGACUCCCUGCUCCAUUUUUGUUGGAGAAAUCGUAAACAUAUACUACAGUGAAUGGCCUACGUAGUGGCUGGUCUUGCGAACGGUUUGUUUGUGAAAGCUGUGAUUAUCGCACUGCUGAUGCUUAGCUCAUGAAUUUGCAGGCUUGGGAAAUACAUUGGUGUCGUUCAUUGCAGUAUUGUGUACAUUGCUCGGUUCAUUGAUCGGAUUCUUAGCUCGUCAUUUUUACCCUGUCAAUGUGAGUAUGCUUCUGAGUCAAUUAUUAAGUCAAGGGGAUGAAUACAUGCACAAAUUAAGACAGUGCAAUCUAAAACAUAUAGGCAGGAAGUCUCCGUCAACCACUUUUUCAGCAGGAUACGGAAGCAAUUCCUGAGGACACAGAGGAAGGCAACUCCGAUCAGCUUCUGCGACAUAAAAAGCGCAGUUGCUAGCUUCGUGCCCUACACCCUCCUGCUGAAACUAGUAAGACUUGGUUCCGGUUAUCUACACGUGAUGUUAUCUAGUGUUAGGUUACAGCAAGAAGUUCACCGAAAGCCUUCUCGUCGACCUGAGUUACACAAGACCAUCAAUGCUCCUAACAUUGGUCUUAACAACAAAGCUCCCGUUCCUCCUACUGAGCAACUGGGUGAUCUGAUAAGCUUUGCCGGAGAUGCUGGUGUUAAGGAGGAUAGUGGUAAUGCCGAUAGUCAGGAGGGUAAGGUGUCAUCCUAUCAUGGUGACUUGAUGGGGCUUCCCUACACCCCACCGUGCAGCGUUAAGAAAAUUGAUCACAUGAUAGAGGCCAACCUAUCGAGCUUUUCAAGUCACGAGAAACGUUGUAGAUUAACUGUUAGUGGUUGUAGUGUAAGCAGGAGGGUGCAUGGAGACAAAUAAGAGGGUGUUUGGUUUGAUCAUGACAUGUAAUGUUACCCUGGGCAUUGUGGGUUCGUGUGAUGAUGCCUAAGAAUUCUGUUCUGGCAUAACAGCUUUGUAGCAAACCCAAUUACUCCAUAAUGUUCUCUUAUUGCAUGGUUGAUGGAGUUCUUAUGGAUGAUUGAUCCUGUCUAAAGCUUAUAUUGCUUAAGGGAUUGAGUUUUUGUUGGCAGAGCUCCUCUGGUCUGCUCCAGUCGGCUCUGGUGGCCCUAGUACCUUUGUGUACUGUAGGCAGAAGUUAUUUUUAUAUCGUCUAUUGAAAUAGACAGACUAAACAUGUCUGCUUGUUGCAACUGAUCCAUCCAAUACAUCGUUGAUAAUCGCUAGAUGCGAGUUAGGACCUGUUUGAUUUCAUUAGUUUUAAGACUAAAGUUCCUAUCCUGUUUGGUUUAGAACUAAAGUUUAGUCUAGUCCCUACCCUGUUAUCCUAUUUGGUUAUUUGGUUGUAAAGACUAAAUAUAUUCUAAAUACAUUAAAUUCAACAUAUAAAGACCUAAAUACCUCUUUUCUUGUUUCCUAUGUAUGACUUCAGUUUUCUAAGCAAGUGUAAUUAGAGUAAAUAUUGUCCUUUAAUCCCUUUUAGCACCUAUGUGAGGGACUACAGACUAACGUUAAUUAGUCCCUAAUUUAGUCUUGUUGGGCAAAAUAGGAAUUAAAUGAGACUAAACACCAUGGACUAAAGAUUAGUUUUGGUAGUUAUGAGACUAAAGUUUAAUCCCUGCUUUGUUUGGUUUUAAAGACUAAAGUAAACAUUAAGGGACUAAUUGUUUAUCUUUGAAUGACUAAAGUAAAUUUUAAAUUAUUGAAUGUUUUUUCUUGAAAUUUUUUAAACCUUAAAUGAAUAAAUAUUUGUUCCUGCUAUACAUAAAAGUAAACCUUGAAUGACCGAAUAAAUCGUGAAUGGCUGAAUAUUUGUUGGUGUGUGCUACGGGGUGGCGGUGGGCGGAUUAGUCUUUUUAAUUACGUGUGGAUCUGAUCGACUGAUGUGGUUGGUUCCCUGAUCUGUUUUAUUUCUUAAUGCGUUACCUGGUGGGCUAGUCCGAUUGGACCUUUUGGUUAAGGUAAUGGACCAUGUGUUCUAUCACCCUAGGUGAUGAUUAGCGUUUGUGUAUAUAUAGGGCAACAUUAUUCAUCAUCCUAGUCAGUAAUGACUGAAUACUACUCAGUCAUUUCACGAUUAUAAUUGAAAAUCGCUCAGGUAUUUCUGGUAAUGACUCAGUCGUUAUCGUCCAGGUGAAGCUUCACAUAGGGUGAUGAAUAGCAUGGUACCCACACAUGCACCCGCACGAGCGCUCACAUACUAUGUGGUGAUCACCCACCAUGGAAUGGCUUAAUAAAUUUUCAUUAAUUGUUAAAGCUAGUCUAGGGUGAGUGAUCAUCAUCUAUGGUGAUAAAUAGCGUUUUUGAUAGAGGGUGAGGCCCAAUCUUCCGAGAGGUACAAUAACUUUAUUAGGUGGAGAUCUCGACAUUGAUGAUCCAAGGCUCCAAACGAACGGGUCGUCGCAAUCACUAGACCACUGCUUCAUUGGUUGUCACUCGUGACACACGAGUGACCUCGCCACGAAGGCUUAUCCCUACAAUCGCAAUCAAGAACACAAGCAAGAACAGGAAAUACACAAUUUAAACUAUAUUGAUCUUGAGGUGGGGUCUCACAAAUCGAUGAACGAUGAUUUUGUUUGAUGACAAAAAUGAUCUAAGAAAGACCCCACCCUAAUGGUGGCGACUACUGAUCAUAAUAUAGGGGUUAGGGGCGUGCAAGACUCCUGGACGCGCCCCUAAUGGGCUCCAACGCAUUAUAUGGGCCAACAACCCAACAGAUGGUGUCGCAGCACCAGAAUGUGGACGCUGACUUGUUUCGACGAUUCCCGUUGACUCUGGAUGAAUUUUAAGUCGGGACCAGUUGUGUUGGAUAGCUUUUCUCAGCUUUCCAACCGUAUCAAGUCCGACCCAAAUGGAGUUUGGAUGCAUCCUAGGCGUCCGUUUUAGUGCAGACUGGUCCUAGAACUCGAGAUGGAAUCGCAGUUCAGUUAGACUUAUCUCAUUCAUGUUGUGGAUGCCCUUACUUCUCCUAGACACCUUGGCCUUUCACAAGUCCUUGCUAGUCCUCUCCAAACAUCCUAAUCAUUAAAACAUCCAUGUUAUGAAGCGUAAGCUUUAAAACACAAUUGACUAGGUUAGAAUGAACUUAGAGAUUUAAUUGUCGUGCACGUGAUCGUGUUAUCGGACCAUGUAUUGUAUGUAUAAGAGUGAUAUCCUCAUCAUCCUCCUCCUGUUCAAUUGAGUCAUCCUCGACUCGAGCUCAUCUUCCUCACCCAUAUAUGGCUUCAAAUCUGAAAUGUUAAAGGUGGGACUAACCCCAAAAUCUAGAGGCAACUCAAGUGUAUAUGCAUUGUCGGCGUUUUGGACCCGCGAGGACCCUCAACCGACCAGUGAAUUUGUCGCUGCGUGUCCCUGUAAGUGCAAUCAACCCUAAUUGAGGGUUUUGGUGAUUAAUGACAAAACAAACUAAGAUUCUAACAAGUUUGCUCCUAGUAUGUACACAGUAUUUCUACAGACAGGAGAAGCACAGAUCCUACGAGCAUAAAAGUAUAAAGCACAGCGGAUUUAAAAUUCCACAUCAAAUGGCGUGCUCCAAGUGCUAUGAAACAACGGCAGUGCUAAGUUUAUAAUUCUUGAGUCAUAGGAAUCGUCGUACAAUUAAGAGGGAUCCGCGACGGUUAAGUAAGUUGUGAAACGAGCCAAGUUCAAUUCUUUUGAAAACUCCUUUGAGAUCAUUUUUCCCAGAUCAUGAAUGCUCUUGAGAAAAACAAAUUUCACUUCCCACAAAGUCUCCCCCUUUGUUCUCUUCAAAAUUCUCAAAGUUUGGUUUCAGCCCCCAAAACCGGUUCAACCGGUCCUGAAACCGGUUCAACCGGUUUCGGUACUGUUCAUCCUGCCACCUCUGCUCUGACCUAUCUGACAGUCAGAGCUGUCAGAAAAGUCGCAGCAGAUAUUUUUCAGAAACCGGUUGAGCCGAAUUUGUCCCUACUCAGCCGGUUUUAAAACCGGUCCAGUGUCCGGCUGAGUAGACCAGUGGACCGGGAUCUCCCUGGCAGAAACCGGUUCAACCGGUUUUAAAACCGGUUCAACCGGUUUUUGUCCAUUUUCUCCCAACGGCUGCCAGCUUUUGGGGGAUCCUUUAUAUACCCCCUCACACUCUCUCUCUCAUUUACUUCUGCCUCUCCCACGAAUCUUUGGCUGACCAACCCUCAAACAAGAGCAUUCACUUCACCUCUCACACCCGCAAUCGCAUCUCCUUCAAUCAUUUGAAGGACCCUUGGUGUGAGGUGAACUCGAUCGAACUCGCUGUCAAUUUCAUCUCGAUUCUCCCAUUCUCUUGUUCUUGAGCUCGUUGCAAACUUAACCGUGUGCGGAUUUGUUACUCUUGGAACCUCGUGUUCCUUGACGGUUAGAGGUUGCUUGGGAGUCUCCAAAUUUGUGGACGACCCCAAGAAGUUUGUAUCACCCGCUCCUUGAGCAGAUUUGAGAAGAGAUUGCCUUGACCUUUGUGGUCGGCUUGUGGAGGAUUAGGGUUGGAAAAGACCCGGCCCUUUGUGGGUUCCUCAACGAGGAGUAGGACACCUUUGUGGUGGUUGCCGAACCUCGGGUUAUAUCGCGUGUUCUUGUGUGUUCUUGUUAAGCGCUUCAUAUUCGGUGGUUGGUUCAUAUUAUUCAUUUAAGUAGUUCUUGUGUAGGGCAAAUCUUUAGUUAUUUUCUUUACUACUUCGCAUUUGUUCAAUAGAUUAUUAAAUUUAAGUUGAGUGGGUUCAAACUUGUUCAGUUGUGAUUAAAAUCGACUGAACCGGUUUGCACCUGUGCAACUUUAAUUUAACCUAUUUCGAAGUUUUUAGUGAAAAUUUUCAGGUGUAGCCUAUUCACCCCCCUCUAGGCUACUUUCAAUUGGUAUCAAAGCUUCGUGCCUCGUUUUACGCUUAACCGCGUGAGGAAACGAUCAUGUCUACACAACGGGACCAUGUGGAUCCUCUCCUCGAGGAAAUCCCCGUCACAUCUUCCGGUGAGGAAGUGGACCCCAAGGUCCUCGACCUCGCCAUGAAGAUUGCCGAGAAAAUGUUCCUCAAAAUGAAAGAGGAAGAUGCUAGGAAAAAGGCCGAAGAAGAGGAAUCAAGAAGAAAGGCCGAAGAAGAUAAAGGUAAGGGAACAUUUGAUUAUAAUGACGAUCUAGUGGAUCUUUUGGUGUCUAAGGUAUUGAGCAAAGUAAGUCUCAACACCGAAGGAUCAUCUACCAAAAGCAAAGGUAAUGACUUUAGCAAAGUUCAAUUCGAUUACUCUAGAAAUUAUAUUCCCAACUUCUCUUCCGCCCCACUUGGAAAGUUACCAACUCUUAGUGAGUUGAACUAUGAUGAGUGGGCCGACAAGAUGAAGUCGCAUUUAAUCGGUGUGCAUCCUAGUCUUUGGGAGAUUGUUAAUGUAGGUAUGUAUAAGCCCGCCCAAGGAGAAGAGAUGACUCCGGAAAUGAUGCAAGAGGUUCAUCGAAAUGCUCAAGCAGUGAGCAUAAUUAAAGGAAGUCUUUGUCCGAAAGAAUACCGGAAAGUUCAAGGAAGAGAAGAUGCUCGUGACAUUUGGAAUAUUCUUAGAAUGUCACAUGAAGGAGAUCCCAAAGCUAAAAGACAUAGAGUUGAAGCUUUGGAAAGUGAGCUUGCAAGAUAUGAUUGGACAAAGGGUGAGUCGCUCCAAUCACUCUUUGAUCGAUUGAUGGUAUUGGUCAACAAAAUAAGAGUUCUUGGGAGUGAAGAUUGGAGUGACUCCAAGGUCACAAGAUUGUUCAUGAGAGCUUAUAAAGAGAAGGAUAAAAGUCUUGCAAGGAUGAUAAGGGAUCGUGAUGAUUAUGAGGACAUGACGCCUCAUCAAUUAUUUGCAAAAAUUCAACAACACGACUCCGAAGAAGCCCCCAUCAAGACAAGAGACUCUCAUGCCUUGAUCACAAAUGAACAAGACAAUCUCAAGAAGAGCAAAGACCACAAAGCAAAGAAAGUGGUCGAGACCUCAAGUGAUGAAGAUAGCUCAAGUGAUGAAGACACAGCUAUGUUCAUCAAAACUUUCAAGAAAUUUGUAAGGAAGAAUGACAAGUUCCAAAGGAAAGGAAAGAAGAGGGCAUGCUAUGAAUGUGGCCAAACCGGUCAUUUGAUAGCGGAUUGUCCUAACAAGAAGGAACAAGAAGCCAAGAAGGAAUACAAGAAGGAUAAGUUUAAAAAGGGAGGCAAGACCAAGGGAUACUUCAAGAAGAAGAAGUAUGGACAAGCUCAUAUUGGUGAAGAAUGGAACUCCGAUGAUGAGAGUUCUAGCUCCGAGGAAGAGGAAGUGGUGGCAAAUGUGGCCAUCCAAUCUACAUCAAGCGCGCAACUCUUCACCAACCUUCAAGAUGACUCCUACACUCCAACUUGCCUCAUGGCAAAGGGAGAUAAGGUAACUUUAUUUAGUAAUGAUUUUUCAAAUGAUGAUGAUGAUGAUCAAAUUGCCAUGAAAAAUAAAAUGAUUAAAGAAUUUGGCUUAAAUGGAUACAAUGUUAUCACAAAAUUAAUGGAAAAGCUAGAUAAAAGAAAAGCAACUCUUGAUGCUCAAGAAGACUUGCUUAUCCUUGAAAAGGAAAGAAACCUAGAGCUUCAAGAGUUGAUUCACAAUAAAGAUAAAGAAGUAAUUAACUUGAAAACCUCUAUUGAUAACCUUGCAAAUAGAAAGAAUGCACUUGAAUCAAGCAUGUUAAGCUUGAAUGUUCAAAAUCAAGAACUUCAAGUGCAACUUGAAAAUUGCAAGAACAUCAAUGCCCCCACUUUAGUAUUUGAAUCUAAGUCUAGCUCUAAUGAUGAUUCUUGCAAGCAUUGUGCCAAAUAUCAUGCUUCUUGUUGUCUAACUAACCAUGCAAGGAAGCAUAGCCCACAGGUGAAGGUCAAAGAAAUUUUGAAAAGAUGCUCUAGCAAUGAUGGGUUAAAGAAAGUUGAACCCAAGUACAAGUCCCUUAAGCCCAACAAUGGUAGAAGGGGGCUUGGGUUCAACUCAUCCAAGGAAAACCCUAGCACAGUGCAAAAGGGGUGGAGAUCCCCCAAGUUCAUAGAGGGAACCACUCUAUAUGAUGCCUUGGGGAGGAUCCACUCCUCAAAUGACAAGUCAUCUCAGGUAAAGGUUAACUUGAGUUCCACAAAGAGUAAGAUGAAGGAAGUGGGAUCCUCAGUGGACAAAAAUCUAAUGCUCCCAUUUCCCACUCAUAUCUUUGUGAUUAUAUGUUGACUUGGGAUUCAGGGAAAUUGGUUGUGAAAUAUGUGGGUGCCUACACUAAACAAAAAGUCAUGAAAAGAAGUGUGUGGGUACCCAAGGCUAUAACUAACACUGUAGGACCCAAUUCAAUUUGGGUACCUAAAAGUAUAGCCUAAACUUGUUUUGCAGGUCUACUCCUCUGGUGGGUCAAGUUGGGUGCUUGACAGUGGAUGUACAAAUCACAUGACCGGGGAGAAAGACAUGUUUCAUACAUUGCAACUAACUCAAGAAGCACAAGAAAUUGUGUUUGGAGAUAGUGGCAAGAGUAAGGUGAUUGGUAUUGGUAAAAUUCCUAUCUCUGACCAACAAUCACUUUCAAAUGUUUUAUUAGUAGAUUCCUUAAGCUAUAAUUUGUUGUCCGUUUCACAACUUUGUGGAAUGGGUUAUAAUUGCUUAUUUUCGGAUGUGGAUGUGAAGAUCCUUAGAAGGGAGGACUCCUCAGUUGCCUUUACCGGUCGCUUGAAGGGCAAGCUUUAUCUUGUUGAUUUCACAACAAGUAAAGUGACGCCUGAGACUUGUUUAGUGGCAAAAUCCGACAAGGGUUGGCUAUGGCAUCGCCGGCUAGCCCAUGUCGGUAUGAGGAAUUUGGCCAAACUUCAAAAGGAUAAUCACAUCAUUGGACUAACAAAUGUUGUAUUUGAGAAAGAUAGGGUUUGUGGCGCAUGCCAAGCAGGAAAGCAACAUGGAGUCCCACAUCAAUCAAAGAAUGUGGUCACAACAAAGAGGCCAUUGGAGCUUCUCCACAUGGACCUCUUCGGACCUGUGGCCUACAUUAGCAUUGGUGGUAGUAAGUAUGGUUUAGUUAUUGUUGAUGAUUUUUCUCGAUUCACUUGGGUUUUCUUUUUGAGUGACAAAGGUGAAACUCAAGAAAUUUUAAAGAAAUUCAUGAGGAGAGCUCAAAAUGAAUUUGAGCUCGAUCAAAAUCAAGAAAGUGAGAAGCGAUAAUGGGACGGAAUUCAAGAACACAGGUGUCGAAGAAUUCUUAGGAGAAGAGGAAUCAAACAUGAGUUCUCGGUGCCUUACACUCCACAACAAAAUGGUGUUGUGGAAAGAAAGAACCGGACUCUAAUUGAAGCUGCAAGAACCAUGUUGGAUGAAUACAAGACACCUGACAACUUCUGGGCAGAGGCGGUCAACACCGCCUGUCAUGCAAUCAACCGCCUCUAUCUUCAUAAGAUCUACAAAAAGACUGCUUAUGAGCUUCUCACUGGUAACAAACCUAAAGUUGAUUAUUUUAGAGUAUUCGGUUGUAAAUGUUUUAUUCUUAACAAGAAAGUCAAGAGCUCAAAGUUUGCUCCUAGAGUGGACGAGGGUUUCUUGCUUGGUUAUGCAUCAAAUGCGCAUGGAUAUCGUGUUUUCAACAAUUCCACCGGUCUGGUUGAAAUAGCGAUAGACGUGACAUUUGAUGAGUCUAAUGGCUCGCAAGGGCAUGUUUCUAAUGACACUGCAGGAAAUGAAGAACUACCUUGUGAGGCCAUAAAGAAACUUGCCAUAGGUGAGGUGAGACCUCAAGAAAGGGAUGAUGAAGAAGGAACCUUGUGGAUGACCAAUGAGGUAGUUGAUGUGGGUGCAAGGGUGGUGAGUGACAAUGUCUCCACCCAAGCAAACCCAUCAACCUCAAGUCAUCCAAACCACGAAGAAAAUCAUCAAAGGAUGCCAACAGUGGUAGAAGAUGAACAAGAAAAUAUUGAUGGUGAAGUGCCUCUUGAUCAAGUAACUGAUGAGGAAGAGCAAAUACAAAGACAUCCAUCAGUGCCUCAUCCAAGAGUCCAUCAUACAAUUCAAAGGGAUCAUCUGGUGGACAACAUCCUGGGUAGCAUUAGGAGAGGGGUAACGACUCGAUCUCGUUUAGCUAAUUUUUGUGAAUUUUACUCGUUUGUUUCCUCUCUUGAGCCACUUAAGGUUGAAGAAGCAUUGGGUGAUCCGGAUUGGAUAAUUGCCAUGCAAGAGGAGUUGAACAACUUCACUAGGAAUGAAGUCUGGUCCUUAGUCCAAAGACCCAAACAAAAUGUGAUUGGGACUAAAUGGGUCUUUAGGAACAAGCAAGAUGAAAAUGGCGUUGUUACAAGAAACAAGGCAAGGUUGGUUGCCCAAGGCUAUACUCAAGUGGAAGGACUUGAUUUUGGUGAAACAUAUGCGCCGGUAGCAAGGUUAGAAUCAAUUAGAAUAUUAAUUGCCUAUGCUACUAACCAUGAUUUCAAGCUAUAUCAAAUGGAUGUCAAGAGCGCUUUUCUAAAUGGACCACUACAAGAAAGAGUAUAUGUGGAGCAACCACCGGGCUUCGAAGACCCAAAGAAGCCAAAUCAUGUUUAUCUUCUUCACAAGGCACUCUACGGGCUUAAACAAGCCCCUAGAGCUUGGUAUGACUGUCUUAAAGACUUUUUAAUUAAAAAUGGGUUUACAAUAGGAAAAGCUGACUCUACUUUGUUUACUCGAAAAGUUGAUAAUGAAUUAUUUGUGUGCCAAAUAUAUGUUGAUGACAUUAUAUUUGGUAGUACUAAUGAAAAAUUUUGUGAAGAGUUUAGCAAAGUAAUGACGAACAAGUUUGAGAUGUCUAUGAUGGGCGAGCUUAAAUACUUCCUGGGAUUUCAAGUCAAACAACUCAAGGAAGGUACCUUUCUAUGCCAAACUAAAUAUACUCAAGAUAUGCUCAAGAAGUUUGGCAUGGAAAAAGCAAAGCACGCCAAGACUCCAAUGUCAUCAAAUGGACAUCUCGACCUAAAUGAGGAAGGUAAACCUGUAGAUAAAAAAUUAUAUAGAUCAAUGAUAGGAUCACUGCUUUACUUAUGUGCAUCUAGGCCUGAUAUAAUGUUGAGUGUUUGUAUGUGUGCACGUUUUCAAGCAAAUCCUAAAGACUGCCAUCUUGUAGCCGUUAAGAGAAUUCUAAGAUACUUAGUCCACACCCAAAACCUAGGAUUAUGGUAUCCUAAAGGCUCCUUUUUCGAUUUGCUUGGCUAUUCUGACUCAGAUUAUGCCGGUUGCAAAGUAGAUCGAAAAAGCACUACUGGGACUUGCCAAUUCCUUGGGCGGUCCUUAGUGUCAUGGAGUUCCAAGAAACAAAAUUGUGUUGCACUCUCCACUGCAGAAGCUGAAUACAUAGCAGCUGGGGCAUGUUGUGCACAGUUGCUAUGGAUGAAGCAAACCCUUAGAGAUUUUGGUUGUGAGUUUAACAAAAUUCCACUUUUGUGUGACAAUGAGAGUGCCAUAAAACUUGCAAACAAUCCGGUGCAACACUCUAGAACUAAACAUAUUGACAUCA
This 17900-nucleotide long non-coding RNA is filed under the name Zea mays. RNAcentral's name for it is "long non-coding RNA (ZMAY_LNC005860)". Lineage: Eukaryota; Viridiplantae; Streptophyta; Magnoliopsida; Poales; Poaceae. The record is from RNAcentral.